AUUGAACGCUAGCGGGAUGCUUUACACAUGCAAGUCGAACGGCAGCGCGGACUUCGGUCUGGCAGCGAGUGGCGAAUGGGUGAGUAAUGUAUCGGAACGUGCCCAGUAGCGGGGGAUAACUACGCGAAAGCGUAGCUAAUACCGCAUACGCCCUACGGGGGAAAGCAGGGGAUCGUAAGACCUUGCACUAUUGGAGCGGCCGAUAUCGGAUUAGCUAGUUGGUGAGGUAACGGCUCACCAAGGCGACGAUCCGUAGCUGGUUUGAGAGGACGACCAGCCACACUGGGACUGAGACACGGCCCAGACUCCUACGGGAGGCAGCAGUGGGGAAUUUUGGACAAUGGGGGCAACCCUGAUCCAGCCAUCCCGCGUGUGCGAUGAAGGCCUUCGGGUUGUAAAGCACUUUUGGCAGGAAAGAAACGUCGCGGGCUAAUACCCCGUGGAACUGACGGUACCUGCAGAAUAAGCACCGGCUAACUACGUG
RNAcentral lists this ribosomal RNA (484 nucleotides) under uncultured bacterium. RNAcentral describes it as "partial 16S ribosomal RNA". It matches the Rfam family "Bacterial small subunit ribosomal RNA", at positions 30 to 507 of the family's 1533-position model. The record is from RNAcentral.